This 420-nucleotide ribosomal RNA is filed under the name Fusobacteriota bacterium. RNAcentral describes it as "Fusobacteria bacterium partial 16S ribosomal RNA". It matches the Rfam family "Bacterial small subunit ribosomal RNA", at positions 355 to 776 of the family's 1533-position model. Lineage: Bacteria; Fusobacteriati; Fusobacteriota. The record is from RNAcentral.
UGGGGGAUAUUGCACAAUGGGCGAAAGCCUGAUGCAGCGACGCCGCGUGGGGGAUGAAGGCCUUCGGGUUGUAAACUUCCUUUGCUCUGAACAAGGCAUGCCUUUGGGGUGUGUUGAGUGUAGGGGUUGAUUAGCGCCGGCUAACUACGUGCCAGCAGCCGCGGUAAUACGUAGGGCGCGAGCGUUGUCCGGAAUUAUUGGGCGUAAAGGGCUUGUAGGUGGCUGGUUGCGUCUGUCGUGAAAGCUCAUGGCUUAACUGUGGGUUUGCGGUGGGUACGGGCUGGCUUGAGUGCAGUAGGGGAGGCUGGAAUUCCUGGUGUAGCGGUGGAAUGCGCAGAUAUCAGGAGGAAUACCGGUGGCGAAGGCGGGUCUCUGGGCUGUUACUGACGCUGAGGAGCGAAAGCGUGGGGAGCGAACAGG